This is a long non-coding RNA of Gasterosteus aculeatus aculeatus (three-spined stickleback), 25407 nucleotides long. NCBI's taxonomy places the organism in Eukaryota, Metazoa, Chordata, Actinopteri, Perciformes, Gasterosteidae. The record is from Ensembl.
ACACACAUACACACCAACACAACCAUUCCUCCCCUGACAUUCCCUCAAGCAAGAAAGAUGCUGUAUGUGACACAACAUCGAGAGAUAAACCAUAUGUUACCAAUAUGUUAGCUUUAUUUUGCGGAUUAGAUGGAGAAUGAGGAUUUGUCUGCACUGUUUGUGUAAUAACGAAUGAUAACAGAUUUCAACAGAUAACAAAGUGUGCCCAGCUGACCCACUGAUUAAUCUCUAACAUGACUUAUAAAGUCAGUGUAAUGUUAACAUUACACUGACUUUAUAAGUGACGUUGUUUUAACAACGGCACGUCACUACUUAUUUGGCAUCUUUGAUCAUUGCUUUCAUCACAUGAGGACCCUUUCGCUGUCGACGGUGCUCAAUGUCUUCUUGUAACAGGAAACAGCAAAAAUGUGGAUGUUUGUGAAGUUAAUGUCAAGAUGAAGUCAGAAAUAUCUUCCUCAACAUUUUCAAAUGCUCUGUAAAUAAUCUAGUGGAGGUUUGCCUGGAUCAAUCAAGUCCAUUUUGACAAUCCAGAGAAAAAAGACACUUAAACAUGUCCCCAAACAGACCGAUGGACGAGCAAUGUGGGGCGGUUUCAAAAGAGAAAAAAAGAUGCUUGUAAAAAUAAAAAUACUUUUUUUCUUUUUGCCUUGUUCAGUUGCCAAAUCCCAACGAGUUUUAAGAUUAAACCUGUAAUAAUGUAUUCUUUCUGCGGGUUGGAUUAGGUCGUGCCAUGCAAUUAACGCUUAUGAAUUAUUCAUGUGCACAAGAAGAUCCAAUACAUUAGUCGUUCAUCCCCAGAAGGUGACACACCCUUGGCCCGAGCUAAUGGAAUAAUUGUCUCCUCUCAUUUUGUCAGUAGAGUCAAAGGAACACACACUCAAAAAGGAUCGUCUCCAACGUCGUAUUUCACGUUGGACCCAAAUUUUAGCACGCAUUUAAAGAGGGACAAUUCCAAGGUCACGCUGGUUUGUAGACUCCUUAAGAAAUUGCUCUAGUGUUGCACAGUCUGGGCUGAAGACACAUUUACUGUCGGUAUUAAUGUGUAAACUUUGUGAAUCUCACGAAUGUUUCUAUUUUCAUCUGUAACCUUCACAGCAGGUAAUUGUCCUUUUAAAGUCAUAACAUUUAAAUAAAACGUGUUUGUUUAGCAACGCUAGGCCGUGGCGUGAGGUAAGUGGCGCUGUGGUUCUUCAAACAACAAUAAGCUUGUGCAGUGCAGGUGCAGUUCAAGCUCUUUUCACACUUGUUGCGUUGUUUUCUUGUUUUUCUACGUGUUUUUUGAGUCAUUGCAUUCCUGCUAAAAAACACUGAUUACCUGAGGCUCAACCUCGGUGAAAUAGCAGUUUAAUGUUUUUUUCUCAGCAACAGCAACUCAAGCAGAGUAAUAUGAUUUAAUAUAACAGCAUUAUGGUUUUGUUAUGUUGUAUGUUCUUUCUGUUUGCCUGAAAACUGUUUGUUGUUACCUUGUUCGUCAGCUAGAUGUCAGCAGCAGACAGUCUUUUGUUAAUAAAGCGGACCACAGGGAAAUUAUUUUUACUGUCAAAUCAGAAAUUAGACACAUUAGCGCUUUACUUUUAAGUCCAAUGCAAGAAGUCACUUAAUGCAGACAGCUUAUGGUUGUUUUAAUGACAUUGGUUCUAAAUACAAGGUUUGUCUUUACUCUUGGCUAUAUAAUCAAAACUGAUUAUAUAGCCUUCACUGCAUUUGAUUAAUGACCAUAGUAUUGAUUAAGCAGUGUGUUUAUUGAUUCUAAAUUAUAUGGAAUACAAUAAAAAUACCAUUUUCAGCUUUUGAUAUGCAUCUUGAAUAUUCUGAUUGAAUCUUUCAGUAUUCAUCAGCAGAGGGCACUGUGCCUUUUCUCCUUCUCGGGAGAUCAGAUUUGUCUUUUGAGCUGUGAAAUUCCUCUGGCGGCUCCCAUGAAGACGUCUCCUGAGUUGCUUGUUUUGCCUGCCUGUGUAUCCUACGUCGGUCCUUAGACCACUGUUAAAUGUCAAACAAAGCAACAGUGCAGCUCUGUGUUUGCAGCCUGACAGAGGAGGGUGCUCAAGUCCAACAUGAACACAAUGACUGUGAUGAUUGUGACACUGUUUGAAUGUGACUGUGUGCCACAGCUGGACUGGAGCCCUGCUGCUGCUGCUCAGACACCUGAUGAGAGGAUUCCUUUAUUGCAAGCGCUGCUAAAGGUGAUUCGCGUCAUGUUGCAACUAAUCAAAAUAGUGUCGUUUUCUGUGUAAUUUAAGCUAUCAGUUUGGAACUCUCUAGGGAUAUUCUCUCCGGGUUUAUUGUGUAUUUUUACAGGUGGAUCUAUUCUUUAGGCUUACGUUUGUUUAUACAGUUAAAGCUUUUUGUGUGCGGUUAUCACAUUGUAAUUGUUUUUUUAUCUCAACGUUGGUAGGUGAGCAUGACGUGCUGUAGCUUACUGUGGUGGAGAUGUAAACCUUGUUAUCCCUCUUGGUGCCACCAAAACCCCUGCACAGAAACCUUCAUUUGAAUAUUAAGAUUUUGGUUUUGGCGAACUGAAUGCAGGAUUCUCGAUGCUUACUGUUGGAAUAUAAUUUACCUUGUAAUUCAAUCCCCUUUGUUGGAAAACCUUAGCUAAUUCUUUAAGUACGGCUUAUGUCAGUUUGUGCCAUUUCGAUCUAAGAAAAAUCUCCAGUAUGAUAAAAUAUACAAUCCACGUGACCAAUACAUAUCAGAAUACGCUUUAUUUAUUAGCUGAUAUAAGGGAUCUAAAAGCUCCUCUUCCCUCUCUCCUUCUAUAAGAAUUCACAUCUCAUUAAUGCACAUCACUAAUUCCACCUCUUUUUGGGCUUUCUCUCCUCACAGGUUUCUAUGAAUCAUUGUUUUUACAUGUCAUUUAGCUGACGCUUUAUCCAAAGCGACUUAUAAUAAGUGCAUUCAACCAUAAGAAGACAGACACAAAAGAACAAGAAAGUGCAAUUUCAUCAAAUAAGCCGACCAACAAAUCGACUUUGUUGGUCUUUGUAGUCGAGGUAGAGUCUGAAGAGGUGUGUCUUUAGUUUGCGGCGGAAGAUGCGAAGGCUCUCAUUCAGGGAGACCUGCCAGGAGAGUUACAGUAGUCCAGGCGGGAGAUGACAAGAGCCUGAAUCAGUACCUGCGCUGCCUUCUGAGUGAGAAGGGGACGUAUUCUCCUGAUGUUGUAGAGCGUGUAUCUACAGGAUCGUGUUGUCGCAGUGAUGUUGGGAGUCAGGGAGAGUUGGCUGUCAAGUGUCACGCCGAGGUUCCUGGCAGUCAAAGUGGGCGUUAACGUUAUAUCUGGAACCUGGUCCGGCCUCCUGCCGUGGCCCUGCUGACACCUGCUGCUGGUCACAUUACUAUCACUGUCAUCAUAAUCCAACAUUACUGGUUUUGUGUCUUCCCUAAAGUAUUUGUGCGUUGCAUGGUCUCUGUCUCUCAGACAUUCCUCUCCUCUGGGCACAAAUCUGUCUCAAAGUGAGAAGUACAGUAAGAGCAAAACUCAUUCUGCUGAGCUUAUCUACUACAGCCUUAGCGAGCAUUGAUUUCACACCAGAUCAAAGCAAUCUUCUAUUUUCUGACCAGUUCAAUACUGCAGAUUCAAAGCAAAAAGAAACAAAGGAGCUUUUUUUAAAUAGUUUUCCACAGAUGCUGGGCUGAUUUAAACAACAUUUUCCCAUAAUGACCAGUUUUUUAGAUGCCCCACAGUUGUACUCUAUCGAUCUGCUCAGCGGUCUUUGCUGAGACAAGAGUGACAGAUACUGUGAGCUGGAGACACCACAGUUGUACCAUCCUGCACUUUUCCUUCUCCUUUAAUAAAGAGUUUAGUUUCUUAUGCUCUCGCAUAGUGAGGGGAAACUGAUUUAUAUACUCUCCGCUUGCCAGGUUAUAGUUUCAUUUUUAAAAUUACCUUAUUGUUAAAUACAUUCAACGCAAAUAAAUACAUAGGCCUAAUAAUUAAGACGUAUGUAUUCAUUUGCAUAUAAAAUGUCCAUCCAUUGGAAUUACAUUUUAAGUGAUAAUUACAUUUGCUGGUCAAAAUAACUUCAAGUAACAACCAAGUAAGAAUUACAUUUAUUUAAAAAAAUACCAGUAAGCCAAAUGAGUUUUAAAUAUACAAUAAAUUGGUAUAUGCUUUUACCAUGAAUGAGCCAGUUUGUUUUAAAUUGAUAAACAUGUGUUUGUAUUCACUGUUAAUAGAGCUUAUUUCUGAUAUUCAUAACGAUUAGGUUUAUGCGAUCAACUCAAUUAACUCAAAAUACAUACAAUUAAUAUGAUUUUCUUAAUAAACCCAAUGUAUUUUAAAAUGUAACCCCACAUAUUUACAAAUAAAACUUUCAUAAAUAAAUAGAACCUUUCCAAACAGUAUUGGAUUUGAAUCAGUUAGACUUUCAGAAGUAGGGAAACGCUCCAGGAAAUCCCUCUUCAAAUCUAUUGAAAAGUAUAUUUAUUGCACCUCCUGUAAUCCUCUUCACCUCACCAGCAAGAAUAACCAAUCUCCAUUUAGAACUCUGAAAACAUGUGUCAACUUUAGCAUAGAGCAACUAAAACCUUUCCCAUCCAUAAAAAACAUUCACCCCAAACCUGACUUUUUAAACUUUUAAGUUUUACAUUGUUAUCAGGAUUAGUCAUGGCCUUCUAGCUUGUUCCCCAAUUUUGAUCACAGGAUUUAUUCCUCUGCAUGAAUACAUUUUUUAAAAAGGCAGCUUGAUAUGUGCACCCUUUGUGACGGGGAUUCUAUACUGGACACAUCUGAUAGGGAAAUCCUAUCAGAUCCCUAAUUGUGGGCGGAUUUUGGAUUCAGUGAAGUCACGACAUUCAAACUCCGGAGCCAACUGUGACCUGGUGAGGUAGAAAAGGCGUUGCCUUGUUUCCCUUUCUCUGUCAAGCUUUGGAACUCUUAAACACUGUUAUGAUUUAAUUACAGCAAAACUAGUUAUUUCCACAAAAACAGAUUACACAUUUGACCCCUUUUCCCUGUCGAGUUGAGUUUUUUCACAUCGGGUGUCAUCAUACUUGAAAGCGGCCGUUUUGUAAUGAAAUAUUCUGUGUUCUGUUGAUUUGAUUAUUGGGGAAAAACCUCGGUGGGUUUGUGUCCUACUGAAAGAAAUUCCUUGCAAUGCGGCGCUCCAUUUUAACAUGAUUUUCCUGCCACAGGUUUGAAUUGCUUCUCAAUCAUUCCAGAAGCAGCCCGAUGUUGCCAGUCUUGAGUGUGUCUCGUUGAUUUCGGUGUGGCUUGUGUUGCUGAUGGAUUAAUCGGCCUCACAGCUUUUCUGUGAAACCAUCAAAACGAUUGUCAGCUCAGUUCAGAUAGAGACGGAACGUCUGCGCAGACAAUCUGCUCACCUGAACCGUCCAUCUGUGAUGCACCACGAUCUCCUGCGCAUUGUUCACCAAGCGUGUUUCAGCUUCAGCAGAGGCAAUGAUUUCCAAGGCUGCCUGGCUGCUGGAGGCAGGUGAAACAAUAGCUUAAAGCAGGCUUUGGUCCAGUUUUUUCCCCUUCAACAGGAUUGUUCCAGUAUGUUACCAGUCACAAAGCACUCGUAAUGGAGUGGGAAAUUAUCCUGACACACAUGAUUAAAAAGCAAAAGGAGAUGGAAUAAAAAUACAUUUGUUUAGAGUGAUUUGGUUUCUGUGUCUUGGUGCUGCUCUUUUUUUCUCCCUUCUUCGGAUUAUUCCUGCGAGACAGAAAUAUGUCUGACAGGAUGUAACGCUGUAGCCUCUUUCAGUGAGGCUUCUUACUCCCUCUUCUUCUUCCAGGCUCUGUUCUAAUCGCACGCAGCUGUCAGAUACAGGACAAUAUAGAUUUUCAAAGAUUAUUUUAUUCGUGCUAGAAGCGUUUCACUUCUGUAAAAGUAUUUUGUUCCAGAAGUCAUGAAGCUGAAAGUUUUUUCAAAAUGUGUAUAUGCGUAGCAUUAAUGAAUGUAGCUUAUGUGCACCAAAGGCGUAAUUCAAUAUAUUACCAUUAAUAUGGUAUGAUACAAACCAAGACAGAACAUCCAAAUAUAUCCGUUUCAUCUUGUAUUCAUUUAAUGUUUUUUAACCGAACCGCAGCCUGACAAACGUUUACCCAAUUUGUCACCCACAAGUGACAAAUCAAUAGGUUUAAAUAGAUUUAGCAUACACAUGAACAAAACAUAACAAAUAGAGGUACAUAGCUUUAAGAAAGAUGAGUAAAGAAUAAGGGAUAAUACAUUCAUACGACUUGUCCAUGUGCUUAAGUUUGUUCACCCAAGCUAAUUGACUUUAUUAAGCCAUGAAACAGAAAUCCAGUCCCAUCAUUCUUCUUCCACUAUCCUGUGGGACUCGUGGCUUUAUAAAGAUACUCUCACUGUUUUUUCUAUUUUUAUUUUCUUGACCUUUUAACUGAUGAGGUUGAGACACUUUGAUCUCAGGCACUUUCUGAAAUCAUGAGGUGGUCGUCUUGCAAACACAUGUAACUGUUCUUUUCUAAAGCAUGACAUCCGCUAAAUACUGUACAUCAUUAUUUAAAGGCGUUUUCUCUUCUCUUAUAGAUACAUUUUUUCAGUAAAAGUUUUUCAUUUUGGGAAAUACUCUUAUUCGCUUCCUCAAUGAGAGUUACAUAAAAGAUUGAUAUCGCUCUCACACUUGUCCGUUAAAUUCGAAUUCGCAGCUAGGAGAAGAGCAUCUUAGCAUAAUGACUGGAAAUGGGGAAAAUGAAAUCACGUUGUCACAUCUCAAACAGUAGUCAAUUAUUGAGGAAUAAACGGGAGUAUAUUUUUUACACAAUAAAAACAGGUUUUGGUUUUACAAAGUUCUGCGCCAGACUACUUCUCGGCUGACCACAAAGACUUCCAAGAGUCUUCUCUUCACUGAGAGGUUGGCAGGAGACCAGAUUAUUGCCCAAAAUGUGGAACGAUUCCUUUGAUGCAUUAUUGUCAAAUUAAUCUAUAAAUGAGAGCAAACAGAAAAAGACUUACAUGCAGAUCAUUUUGCAGGCUUCUUGUUCAAGAAUGAAGGAAAAACAGCAAGUGAAUAUAAUUUGAGACGCUCCCAUGACCCAACCUGAUUCAGUUGGUACGAGCUGAAACAUGCCAGCGUCUGAUAGACCCAUACGUGAGGAAAUGAUCUUUGUGAAAACGUCUGAAGAUGUUUACCCCCAAGAACAACGAUGGUGAUCUUCAGCCUCGACUUCGACAAAUAAUAACAUUAUUUUCCCACAAAUUAAUUAAUCUUCUCUCGGUGAGAAAGUGUCGGUGACCCUCAAGUGAUGCGUCAUAAACUUAAGUAUUAUAAAUUAUUGAGACAGUUUGUACUGAUCUGUCUGAAUUCCUAACAUUUGAAAACUGACUUCAUGCCAUUGACAAAGUUUGUUUUAGUAAAUGCACAAUAUACAACUUUUGUAGGACAAUUGUAGGAAAUAAAACACCAUCCAAAAUCAUUUUUUUACUCCAAACAGUGAGGAAUACAGUACAAAAACAAAAUUCAACCUCAAUAACAAUUUGAAUAUCUAUUUUCUUUAAUUUACUUAAUCCUCAUAGAAACCGAUGUAUGUUGUCAUAUACUGUGAAAAUCUUUGAGGAAAAUGAAUAUAUAUCAUUGCAAAAACCUACCUUCUCUAUACAUCCUUAUAUUCCAUCACAUGGAAGCAUAUUAGGUACUUUCAACACUUCAGUCAAUAAAACAUCUGAUACAUAUUUUCACGUCCACCCUCUGCAAUCCUUGAUGUCCAUGUGGUUGAGAAAAGCGGUAUCGUCGGGCAUUUAUGUACAAGUUAAAUGUCUCACGGCAUGUUGGACUAUUUCACCAGUAAAGGCAAAAGGAACGAGUCCGUUUCCCAUCGACUAAGUUGUUUAAAGGGAUGCAGGAUGGAUGCAAUAUGGCCAUCGCAUUGACACAGAUGAUCUCUCAUCUGCCCGCUGAUGAAGUACAGCAGGAGAUAGAGACCUACAGGGUGGUGUAGAUGUAGACAAAGAUGAUGACAACCAAGUUGAGAAUGGUUCCAAUGAUCCCCAGCAUGGCCAAGAUGCUCUCCUCCUUACUUUCCUUGUCUUGGAUUCCCUUUUCCUCAUCAGUGUGGAGAGUGUUUACCAUUUUCCCCGGGAAAAGACUGCAGUUUUCGUCUCAGACUAAUCUGAUCAGAUGAGAGAGAGAAACAGUCCUUGAGUUAGAUGGUAUUGCACACCGAUGAAUGGCAUUAAAAUGAAAAGAGGUAAGAAAAUACAAAAGCACUAAUUGGCCUGUAGGUGUGUGAAUGUGCCUGUGAAACUAGAGUCAAUGCCAGCUAGAAUUGUGAGAGACAUGGGACACACCCUGGACUCUCACUUGUCCCUCCAGAUUCUAGCUGGGAUGGACUCUAGUCCCGCGACCUCGUACAAGGGUCCAGUACAAGAUAUCAAAUGGAUUUUUGCCAAGUCCACAAAAAACUAAAGUUAAAGUGUGUUGUAGUUCAACGUUAUUAUUUAGGAGAUUUUGUUUUGAUCUUGUUUUGUAUGUCAAAUUAUGUUGCUGGUAAAACAUUUCAUUUAAAAUAUUCAUCCUUCGGCCAUUGCAAGUUUUUUUUUUCUUCUUUUUUUACAGUGUAGCCUUGUAGCCUCAGCUGUGUUACUUAUUCUACUGCUGUGGUCAGAUACAACUUGCCAGCUCCCAUGUGUGACUUUUCCAGUAGAUGUCUUUACGCGUGUGUGUGUGUGUGUGUGUGUGUGUGUGUGUGUGUGUGUGUGUGUGUGUGUGUGUGUGUGUGUGUGUGUGUGUGUGAGAGAGAGAGAGAGUUGUAUUGAUUAGUGUAGCCCGGAGUGGAUUAUUAGAAACUAGCUGUAUGUUUUCACCCCGCUGGCACAGCAGCUUGUGCAAGUCGGCAUCCAAAUAUCUCUCAGGAGAAAAGCACUAUUUCUGCGGGUCAGUUUUAUUCGCCGACUAGCACCUGUAAGGCAUGUAAGCUAUUGCAGAGUAAAAAAAAACCUUUUAUCAGGGAAAAGUUCCCCUUGGUGAAAAGCAGAGAUAGAUAAAUUAUUUUUUAAUCUCUAGCAGAGGUUUGCAUAAAGAUGCACCACCUGGGUACACAACAUACCUUAAGGCGGAUACACUGACUUGCAAUAAUAAAAACAAGUGUUGGCUAUAUUUUAAUGCUAUUAUGAAAUAAAUCAUUAUGCUAAAUUAUAUUCAACAACUUGUUUCCUUUGGCAUCUGUAUUGCUUUCUGUUAUCACACCUGAAGAUGAUUAGAAAAAUGUGUGGUCCACCCACAUUAUCCCAUGCAAAGGGAAAAGGUAGAAAUCAGUUUAACUAGAUCAAACUAGAUUCAACUGUUAGUUAUGUCCACUAUGAAAGGACCACUGUCUAGCAUGGGCUUAUGUUUAGGGCUUCUUAUACAUUUAUAAAAAGACAUGUCAUAAUGUUCAAAGUCAAGGGCCUUUUGUUCAGGCUUGACUUAUAAAAGGUCAAGAGCAUGAAACGGAUUGUGCUCACUGGAAGGGUAACACCCCACACUCUGAUUGAUCAUAGUCAUGCAUGGUGCUCUUGAUGCACUUAAAACCCCGUCAGGUUGUGUCUCUGUGUUUAAGGGUGUUCUCCUGUGAUCUGUAACAAUGGGUUUUGAUUGCCUCUCGUGGGGACCACUAUAAACGGGGCUUCCCUCAACACAGAUGGAGAUGUUUGUGUGGCGCGCUGGAUGUGUCCUCGCGUCAAAUUGGGGUCUCCACUCAUUUCCACUCAGGAAACAUUUCCACUCUAAACUUUUUUAAUUGUUUAAAUAUAAAACCAGGGACAAAAAAAAAAUGUCCAAAAGUUGCUUUUCUUUUACUUCAUCGCCCCAGAUUUAUCUUCAGACUGUGAAGGUUGGCAACCAAAUGGACUAAACUACAUAACUGUACACAAAUAGGCUAAAACUAGCUUCAUCUUGACCAGCUACAUUAAGAUGGUCUUUACAUAUUGAUGCCUCCGUAUUAAUGAUCCCAUAAAGUCAUACAUGAUGAUAUAUCUGUCGCAGGGGACAUUUCACUACAAGUACUGUCACAUUUAAUGACAUGUAACUAAUAAUACUUAAAAGAAGGAUCUUAAUCUUAAUUCCUCCACCUCCAUUACCAAGGAGGUCGAGGAAUGAUAGUGGAGUAGGAGGGUCCAGACUCUUUUGAAAAAGCAGAGUACCACAGAGUACAGCUGUGCCUCACACACUCAACCUUUUUUUUAAGUAGAAGCCGAUGCUGGCAUCCUGCAAUGUGCCAUAAUAAUGAAGCACUCAUAAUGACUCUCUGUGCCUGUUAAACACAGAGGACAAGCUGAAAAGGAAAGUCACAUCAAUAUACUCACAUACAGCUCGGCAUAUCAAUUGAAAGGUUAAUCCAGCCGUGAUACAGUACACAGCCUCCACUUAUCCACCUCUUAUUGAUUAGUAAUUAGACCCUGUGUUAUUCUGAGGUGGGAUUGAGGUAUCGCAGUAUGGAUUAAGAGCUCAUUUGAAACCAUUCCAACACUUCUAUUCUUCUUCAUUCCCAACUGUGAUGAAUCUUAUCAGGUUUGUUGUUGUUACGGAGGCUUCUGUUUCAAGUAUGAUACAUGCGGCAUCUCUGGAUCCUUUCAAAUGGAAAUGCAUCUCCUUGAGAUGUUUCUCCGUAAGAAGGCGAGCUCACACCUCCCUCUUCGCCUCGUACAGAAACAGCCAGGAACGUAUUUGUGUAAAAAGAGCAGACACACAGACAACGAGAGAAAGGGAGAGGUAGAAAAAAGGGACGGUGCCACACCUGGAACAACAAAACAGCCUCUCCUGCUACACCUGACAGGAGCUAACGUCCUCAGAUCGGAUCAGUGGAGAGUAAAACCUUUUGCCACUUGAAUAAUCACGAGCAUGUCAAACGACACACAGACGCUAACAGUCUGACGGGCAUGAAUUGCUAUUGGCAUUGUUAUAAAAUGGAAAAUAAGCAAACAGCCCCCUCCUGAGUGUGUCAACACACACACAUACACACACUCACAUUCAAAGGUUGUCGCCGUGACAUGCUGACAACACAAAGACGUAAACGUAAUGUCUAGUAACAAUGCACAUGUUUGCACAAUUUUAAGAAAGAAGACGUAGGAAAGAAGUCAGAAGAUUUCCCAGUUUUCUUGUGGAAUCAGAUGAGAUUCUGGCAUUAGUGUGACCCAUUUUCUACAACCUGUACCCGUUGUUCUGGGAGUAGGACGGAAGUGACAGAUCUAUUUUGGUUUGGAAAAGAAUUGCAUUCACAAAGAACUUUAAUUAAAAGGAUCCUAUUAGAGAAAAGUUCAGAUAUGCAGGAAACUACGGCUUGAAUUUACGAACGUGGAAUUAGACAUAAAAGAAGAUUGACGUAUUAUUAUUUUAAAAAAACAUCUCCAUAGGGAAAGCAUAGUAAGUGGGCACAAAAACAGGUUGACAUAAGCUUUGUCUUGGAAUUCAGUUGAACUGUUUUACAUUUGAACAAAGAACUAGUUGAGUCACAAAUGACUUGUCAUACCUCAUUUAUGAUAGUACUUCUAUUACGUAAAAAGCAAUUGAAACUUGUUAGCAACAUACAUUAUGAGCAACUCCAAGAAGGGCCAUGUGGAGUUUUAUUUCUUUACAAACCCGGCUAAUAGUAUAAAGUAAGAGUAAGGCAGAAAACACAAAAGGAAACCGUUUUGGUUCAGGGUGUCUCUGCUGCCUUAAUCAAUCAUUCAUACAAACAAAACUCAGCCUGGAAAUAUCAUACAAAUAUAAAGAAUAUCAAUGUUUCAUAAUACAUAAUAAAUUAUAGCUACACUCUGUUUUCGCAUUUAAAAACGGUAAAAGAUUCAUUUUGUUUGACUGUUCACAGUUGUGCACAUAAUGAAGAACAAUGAAGCGCUGGGUGACAUCAUAGACCUUACCUUGCAAAGCAUCAGGAGUAGCAUAACAUUUAACAUGCUGGAGGCUGGCGUCUUCCUGUGGUGCACAGACAUCCCCGGCAACUAAGGUGAAAGUCGACCCCUCUCAUCCUUCGGCUGUGGAGGGGCACAGGAUCCAGAGAGGGAGGGCUCGUCUUCCAGGCGGUCCACUUUUAGGGCUCUGUGUGGAUGUCGUACCCUGCAGCGCUCCAGCGUCUCCUCCCCAAAUUUCAUCUCACUAGUGGCCAAGUUCUAGCUGCCGUCACUUUCUCCUCCUCAGUCUCGUAAGAGCUGAAAACUGUGCUGCCCACCUCCUCUCGGCUCGUCUUCUUUCUCUGCUUUGUUGACGUCUCACCUCUGCUUCCCCUUGUCUUCUUCUUCUUCUCGUCUGUGAGGAAGGACGCUGUCCGGUUGAAGAAUGAAGUCAGUUGAUGGGCAGGUUUUAUGUGGCCAUUUCAACCUUUUUUUUAAAAAUGUAUUCCGCAAAGCUUAAAAAAAAAAAAGCGAUUUCAGUCUAGCCUCUUGUGCCAAUAACCCCUUGUCAAGCCUUGAUAAAGGCUCAUCUCUAUGAAACUUUUAUACUGCUCAGCAAUGUAAAACAUAUUUAUCUGAUGUCCUGGCUUUUAAAUGUUUCAUGCUGAAACAAAAAAUUGAAAAAAGCACCGUUGCUGAAGUGGUGGAAGCCCCUGCCUGCUGUAGCCAACAUAUCUUUCCUUGCGCUCCAGUGGCUCAGCGUGUAUCUCUAACUAACUGAGCAGAGCGCCAAAGCUGGACGCUGUCAGAGAGAGAGACAGAGAGAGACGAGGGGUUGGGGGAGAUGGGGGGGGUGAAGGAACCCGUCCCCUCACACUGACGCUGUCGUGGUUACUUUCGCUCCGCGGGCAAGAGGUAUCCCCUGCUCCCUUUCUACGGUGCAUAUUAACGCAGCAGCCACGGUUGCCUGGCAACCGACUCCCCACAGAGACGGACGGUAUUUUGUGACAGAGGCCAGGAUGAGGGUCUCCCCUGUGCAAUAUUGUGUGAACAUAUGACUGUGUUUGAUGUGAAAUAUGCAGGAAUGACCUGCCAUUAAUCAAGGCGUGUGGGAUUUGUGUGUUCGCGUAUGUUUUUUUGGCUCCAGUCAAAGUUGGGCGACUGUGAUCGUGGCCCGUGGAUCAUAGAAGCAGUGAGUAACAGUCAACUUUGGUGAGAUUUGACCUGCAAAAAAAAAGCUUUCCUGACAGUGUUCACUUUUGCAGGGACGUAGAGUUGUAGUGUGAAACCCAGGAAGCAGUUAAAGCUGAUCUAUUCCAUUUUCUAGUAUUGCUAAAAAAGUUUGCGCACAGUUUACAAAUACAACUGUUGUGUACAUUUUAGGAGUGUUAUUAGGUUAUGUGAAACUAAAUCAUUGAUAUUAGAAUAUUAGAAAUAUUCAUUUUCAAUAACAUAAUUCACAAAAAAAAUAAAAAAAUAACAGGGACUAAACUAUAACUCGUCUCAUAAUCGAUGUUCGCUCUUCUUUUAACUUCAAGCCCAGCUGUCACCAUAUUGACGUGGAGGUGACAGGUUUGCUCUCAAUUCCAUAGUGGGUGAAUGUAAGCAUCUCCUUUCUGAAUGUCUUGGAUUUUACGUUUGGGGGCUGAAGCGACUGAAAGGCAAAAUAAAAGGUGUAGAGUAUGUCAACGCAUUAAUACAAAGACACAGUGUCAGCCCAGCUUAUGGUGUGUGUGUAUGUAGGUGGUUGUGUGUGUCAGGAAAGAAAGGUACUCCGGCACCAGGUGCAAACGUGUGUUUGCAUGUCUGUUUCACCUUCCUACAUUCAUAUAAACUUUCCUCCACAUGUAUUCACAGUUCACAUCUUCCUUCUCUCUUGCCUAGAAAUGUAGGGGAACUCACAGACAAGAACACGUAAUAUUGAUCUAAUGUGAAUAACCUCCAGGACAUUUUCAGUGCAAUCCGACACCAGGACGAACGCUCCCGUCCCGGUCCUCUCCCUCCGACUCUGUUUUCUCACUUCACCUCUGCCAGAGGGAAGGACACAAGCUUUCAGUGUUUGAACUGCGAGCGAGAGACUUAUCUCUCGGUUUUUCAGGAGACAUGACUCACCCAGGUCAUGCCACCCAUUUCUCCUUCCUUUUUUUUAAGCAGUUUUACUACUUGAAUAUUUAUAGUUAUUCAUCUGUUGGGCCUUCUCAAAGGGACAUAUCUCUGCAAGAGGACAGAAUCAAAUGUUCCAUCCUCAAAUAUUUUGUUAUGACUUUACACCAGUCUGCUUGGGUUUGAAUUUAAUAUUUUAGGUGUGUUUCUUUCAGCCUUUUUUAUGUCACUGAUUCUUAGAAAGAUACAUAAAAGAAGUCAGAUGUCAUCUUUAAUGCUGAACAAUGAGGUUCAUAUUUCAGAAAUGCAGGUAAAAAUGUUUUUUUUGAGGUUGUGAAAUCAAAUAAAACAUAAAAUAAAAUUGAAACUAGAUUUUACUUUUACGUGAAUGGUUGUGGUUGCUGAUGGAAAUCUUCUAAAUGGGUAACAGCUGCCAACAAAUCAGAUUAGGCUCCUGGGUCCUUUUGUUGCUUUGCGCACAAAAGGACCUGAAAUGGACAGUAAUAAAAAUGAAAAUGCAAAGGAAACAUUCCCUCCGAACUGAAACCACUGGUGUGCAUAAUUUCCUUGCAUACUUCUCAGUCCCCUGCCUCAAAAUAAAUUUAACUUGGACCAUUGCUGCCUACAUAAGGAUUUAUAACAAUUAAUCAGGGUGUCCAUUGAAUCUGUUCUUGUCAUCUGGUAAUCAGAUCAGUUUCUUCUGGUUGAUCUUCCUCUGGCUCACAUAAAUUUCCAUCAAUAACAUCAUUCUCAACUCAGGCUCACACUGGUAUGCUCAUCUAAAUUGUUAUCCAGCCAAAUGUCAAGUGUGUCUGAACUCUUUAAACUAACUACAGAGUGAGGUGGGAUUUUCCCAUUAUUAAACCUGCACAAAUCCACAUGCGUAUGUUAACAAGAGAUCAACAGACCAUCUGAAAGGGGCCGUUCAAAUCGAUGAACCUAAAGAGAAUCAUCACAAAGAAAGUGUUACAUGUACAAAACAUUCAAGCAUCUCAUGUCAGCUUAUUCCUAUGUUGUUAUAUAUUCAUUUUCUAUUCAAAUAACUAUGAACUCUGUUGAGCAGUUAAACAAUUUUAAAUAAUUCAUUGGGGGGCCUAUAUGUUACAAAAAUUGUUUUUGUAUCUGUUGCUCUUAAAAUGCUCUUAAUCUGCACGCCAUUAACUAUAGCGGGCCAUAAAUAUACUAUCUGCUAUCUACAGUUUGCUCUGCGUCUCCCUAUCAUUUUAACAUUCAAACAAUCAUUUAAUUCAGGUGAAGCCAUAUAAACGUAAAUAACUUUCCCUGUAGUAGCAGGUAAGAAGGACCCUGAGGUGAAGUUGGCUUACAGAAAUAUGUUUCUGAAGUGAAAGUGAGAUUUAAAUAAACAGUGCUGGGAAGGUGUCAGUUUUCCACUGUAAAAAGCUUUGAGUUAACUUUAAUUAAUUUCACAUGGUAAGCUGCACUAGCAGAGCUUCAUGAGGUACAUCUGAGGACAUAAAGUUAUUUACUGCAAAUUAGUGUGAGAGAAAACUCAUGCACAAAAAUGCCAGGUAUUAGUGUUUAGUUUUAGAUUCAAGGGCAAAGCUAAUGGAAUCUGAAAGUCUUAGCGAAGAAGUAAUCUACAAUUACUGCCCCUGGUUUUCCUCAUCACAUCUGCUCUGUGUUUGUAUUCACUCGUUCAACUUGUGCUUUCUAAUUUGUCCUUCACGGAACACAGCUCAGUAAUGCCACCUUAUUAAUUAUUGAGAAGCUAGAGAGUCGUGCCCCAUACGAUCAAAGAUAAACAAUCUGUGAAGUUUUGUUCUGUAAACCUUUUUUAUUCGCGGUGAAGAAACAUCAAAACUUCACCUGAAGGUCGGAAAAAACAACACAGUGUUGGUCUUGGAAAAAAAAGCUUCCUAAAAAACUGCACAAAACUUCAAUCUCAAAAGAGGGAUAUAUAUUUUUUUGUGGAGGUAAAGACAUGCGGCGGAUGGUUAAGCGGGAAGAGUGGUUGUAUGAGGCUAAGGAGUAAGGCGUGUCAUGGCAGCCAUUAAUCCUAAUUAGCAGACAGCAUGACAGCAGCAUAUGGGUGUCCUCCAGUCACAGAGUCAGACGGCUGCUCUCCCAAUCCUGCUCUUUUCACCAAGGCAAGGGGAAUAAAAUAUUCAAACUGUGAAAGAUGUUUUUAUUCCUCUAUUUCAUAUGGGAGAGAUGGAUGGGUGAUAAGCAGAGGCUGGACAAUGUAAAAGCAUUCCUGUUGAUGCUGUAGUAAUGUGAUCCUAGUAACCUCAAGUUGGCACGCUGUAUGGGCUAAAUAAUGUUAAAAGAAAUAGAAAAGAAGAGCCAUUAAAGAUUGAUUUGAAAGUUUUGAUUCUGCUUCAGUGGUUGAAAGUCUGAUAGAAGAAGAAAAACGCUUGACCUUCAGAAAAUUACUUUUAAAACAGCUGUAGUAAUGCUUUUAGGCCUGAUUGGUCAAAGCCUGUUGCAGGACAGCAUACGUCUUGGCUUCUCAUUGGCAUUUUCAUUCAAUUAUUUCAUAUGGAAGCUUGAUAAUCAAAUCAAGUACUACUUGUUCAUGGAAGUCUGAUUUGACCUAAACGUCAAGAUUCUAGUAGUCUUCAACAAACGGCUUUUAAGAUAAUUCUGUAUUUUAUUCCAGAUGAUAGCUGGGAGAUAAAUUAGUAGUCAUAUUGUGCAGAUUUAAUAUUUUAAAAUGAAUGAAAGCACAACAUUUGAGUUGGAAGGCCAUACAGCUAAUUUACUUAAUUUAUUUAGUUGUUCCUUGCGUUUACAUACUGAAACAAUGUGUUUUUCUGACAGAUGUGGUAUUGAACGAGACUACUUUAAACAUAUUAUUUGGAAUUUAACAGCCAUGCAUUAGCAGAUAACCACGCAGGCGUGACAACGACAAACCUCCGAGAUGCUCAGACUCUCUCUCCAGAGAUAUGCUCUGCAUCAGGGGAAGAGCAAAAGAAGCAGCCUGAGAGAAUACUAACGAGAGCGUUUAACACAGAGUGUUUGAUUGCUUCUUUUGAUAUCCCAGGCAGAGAAGCUGCCUCAACGGAUAUCAUCUCAAAAACCUCAGGUCAAUCCUUCUGAAACUCACACAAUUCUUUUCCUCUCAGCGUUCCUCUCUGCCGUGCUUCUCUCUCCAAAGGGGCCAGCCGGAUAUCCCCGAAGCCUAAUCUCAAACUGCUUACAUCAAAAGCCUGUCAGCCUGAGCGUACAAAAGCCGGUUUUCUGAGAGCGGCGGCUUGUCCGACUGGAACACUCCAGCGCAGCUUUCAUUUUCAUCCGCCCGACGUUGGCGAGAGAAAAGCGCGUUGUGGUAGUCCAUCUGGAGACGUCUGUGGGUUAGCACGCGCAUAGCACACUUCACAAGUGUUUUCUUUCCAUGGAAAUACAUUCAAAUGUAUUCCAGUUUACAUCGCUUCCCGAGCGUUAACUUUAAAGUCUAAACGUCUGCGACACAAACAAAGCUUCAUCAUCGGUCGGGCUGAAACUCGGGAUGAAAAGGCACGAGGCAAUCAGCUUUGAUGUUGAGCUCGUUCAAUAUUGCUGUCAACUUUCAAAGUCAGCUGUGGGGCCGGCAGGUAUAUGAUACGUCUACCCUCUGACUUCAGUGGAAACAGUAAACAACAUCUUGCUUUGUGGGAUUUUACGCUUGUGUGACAUAUUGCAUAUAUAUAUACUGAGCCCGUACAAAUUGAUGUAGGUUGUAUAAUAAACAGCUUCCUGAAUAUUGUGGCUUGUGUGGUUUUGGCAAUAAAUGACAUGAAUAAAUGGAUGAGUACAUCAAGAUUAUACAAUUUCACGUUGCCAGCAUGCUGCAGGUAGAAAAUAGCCCACAUAUUAUUAAGACUCCUCUUUUUAAACGGUUGAUUAAUAGAAAAAAACAGGAGGAAAGCAGUUUGAGUUUGCUGAGGAGAGUUUUUCUAACAGCACGCUGUCUCUGAAGGAUCUGGAGGUGCAGUAAUAAAUCAUGUGUUGCAUACAAAAGCAUCAUCAUUAUAGCUCAUAUGAUACUCAUUUGUGAUAUUCCGAGGCCUGAAUCUGAAUGUAGUGAACAGUUUUCUGUCUUCAUCGAUACAUUAUCUUUGAAAAUGUUUGUUUAAAAUCAUCAAUGUGUUAAUCAGUAGGAUUUCUCCCUCUUUCUUUGCACUUUAUAAGUCAACAAAUGUAAAGUGUUCACUCAAUACAGCACUAAUGUAUUGAAAUUAAAUAAUAAUGUCAUCCUUAAGAUAUUUAGCCUUAAGCUAUAAAAUAAUAGGGAUGUAAUCAAGGACAGUGCAGCAUUAUCAAGGCUGAGAAGCAUCCUCCACAUCAAAUGAUUGUUUUUUUAUUCUCCGAUUUAGAUAAGUAGGCUAAGUAGGACACUGAGGAACUGAGAAAUAGAUCAUUAUCUAGCUGAAACAAAUAAUGUGUUGAGAAAUGAUUCUGGCAAAUCAACGAUACAAGAGCCCCUUUUAUGUUGGGUCUUCUGGGUGGUGACAAUUUAACGUUCAUCCUCCGCUGUGCACCAUCUUUUAUAUGCCUGGAGAAUCUGGGCUAACUCACUGGUCCUGCUUAUCGUGCAUUCUCUGUUCCUCCGAUAAAUAAAUAUAAAUAUACCAAUUUAUUGUCCUAUCGAUGGUGAGUCGAGUGUUGAAAAGCACACAGAGAUUUUAAAAAGGAUUGUUGAUAGAUCUGUAUUUUCUGAAACGGUUGCAAGCAAAACUGCCAAGUCUGACAAAUGAUCCAUUUUGUGGGAGACAUUAACAUAUUGAACAUGGGGGAAUAUCGAGCCAAAGGAUUACAGCAACACAAUCCUAGAUGGAUCCGAUCUGCAGGUAUUAAUGAGAAAUCUUGCUGUAUCAAGCGGCUCUGUUGUGAUUUAAGGACGUUCAACAGCAGCACUGAUCCUACAGGAAGAUAAGUCUUCCUCUCUCUGACCGCCCUUCUUUUUCACGCACAUGCCCACGAGAAACACUGGUUCUCACUCAGUCAGGAGAGAUUAUUGGUUGCACCUUUGGGCUGAGUUCAAGAAUAUUGUUCAGAGUUUAAUGUCUCUGAGGCGCCUUAUGGUACCAGGCUUUCUAUGAUUUACCAGAGAAAGUGAGUGGGUUUUCAAAUGAUAAGAAUUGUUUCGAUUGUGCUCUAAUCUAAAAUCGAAUUUCCAUGUUCCGUACACCAAAUUCACACGGAUUUCAGUCAUAAUCAAUAUUCAAUUCAAUUAUUGUAGGCUAUUAUAUUUGUAAAUGAAUUUCAGUGGCAAUAGUUCUGUUUUUUACUUCAAUUUAUUGUGGAUCCUUUCUUCACUUCUGUCUGAUACCGGACUGCUUUCUCCUGGGGAAAUGUGGCUGUGAGGCUGCUGUAUAAAACGUUUAUAACUGGGGUGCAACAUUAGAUAACGUUGGCAAUGAGGCUGUGGCUACUCUAUCUGAUACUGAUAAAAGAUGCCAGAAACAAACCACUGUGAUUCAUUGUCCGUUGCAUCUAAACCAGGAAUAUAUUAUACUUCAAAAUACAAAUGAGUACAAAAUGAUUCAAAUCUUUAAAAGCAUUGGACUUUGGGGUCUUAAUAAACAUUUCAAACCCCAUAGUAAGUGAUUACACUUCUCUGUUUUUCGUCUUUGUCCGAUAACAGUAUAUUUGGCAGUGUAGUACAUUAUAAACCUGUAUGUGACGCUAUUUAAGAGAGUACUCCUUAUUGUGCUGCUCUAUAAUUCCUUUUGGAGCUUGUUUGUGUCAUGCCACUUCAAUAAUGAGGACAAUACUGUACAGGGCUGUGUUGAUCUGAACUAAUUCAUCCUCUUUAGCCUCAGAGGACCACUUCCCACCUCCAAAACUUCCCCCGCAUCAAAACUGUCCCUUCGUUAGCUCUGAAUAUAUAUCAUAAACUGUAGAGAACUGCAGAUUGCCGUCUUAUUUUAUCAGCUUCCCGAUAGGGGGAAAAUAAAAGCGAGCUAACCAUUUGUUGGGCACUUAGUGAAAAGGGCUUGUAUGUACUGUGUCAUUUUGUAGAUGACGAACUUGUUUAAUUUCUCUGUACUUGACAGAGCGUGGAGAAUAUGCAUGAGUGAAUGCAAUAUUAAAUGGCCUGUUGGAGCAGCCGUAACGCAACAAGGUGAAGGGUCCACCGUGUUCCCCAUGCAGCGCUCAAUGCGGCUGCCUGUGGAAGCUAGAGCUGCAGGGUUUCAGGUCUGAUUUCUUAAUCAUGUGUAACAUUUGCAUAUUUUACAGAAGAUUUCAGAACGGGGAAACAAAUUUAUCGUUUUAUUUUCUAAAUGUAGGAGGGGUGCAUUGAGAAGGUUGUCAAUUUAAUUCAAGACUAACGAUUCCACCAAUUAUUCAACAAAAAUAUUUUGAAAAAAUAGAACUGUGUCUCCCCUCGAUACUCAUUUCACUCAGCAAUGCGCUGAGUGUCAGAUAAUCUCCACCUGCUGGAGCCACAGCAGAGGCCCUCAUGUGGUCCCGGAGCCGGUCCAAGCAGCCGAGGGAAGCACACGUCAAUAACAGUGAGCCAAUUAAAAUCACUCUUCAUUUAAGCUGUGAUCUCUAUUGAUUUGCCUUUCAAUUCUGAUCCAUCAGGACCGCCUUGAUGGUUUGGAGACAUAGAAUGUCUUGAGUUUUUUCCUGCUUCCACUUCCAACUACCAGCAGCUUUUCUGAAAAUCAAGGCAGGCUGGUUACAGAAGCUAUGCAGAGCUUGUGCUUUUGAUUCUGUUGUACAGCUGCAGAAGGAUAUAACAACUGAAGUGUUGACUGCAUAUCGAAGCAAACAUAGGAGACACAGUAAACAACAGAAAUAAUCUGUGAUCGAUAUGGAUCAAGGUUAUAAAACUGGACAUGAAUAUAUGACCUUUAUUUUUUAAUCCGCAAUAUCAAAAAGAAAAACGCUUUGAAAGCUUGUUCUUCAUAAUUAGUCAAUCUUGCUGCUAAAUCAUUGGUUCAUUCAGCAGCUGUGUGAUUAUCACAUGACUAAUAACAUGGAGGCGUGCAGCACGGGCAGUUCAACUGAACAUUUGCCCCAGGAACAUUCAUGCGGAAGCUGAUUGCUGCUGCAGCUGCUUCCUCCUCCCCACCAACCAUAUCUUCAUGCAAUAUCCAAUGGUAUUAGUUAAAGUAAGUAUUUCUUGUCCCAGGAAAACUUGUUUAAUCUUAGUUUUAGUCCACUGAACUAAGCACAGUUCAUUGAUGCUACUUUACUGAAAGAAGUACUAAUUUACAUUUACCACAAUGAAGGCAUUUGACAGAACGGAUGUUUUCUGUGAUAAAAAAAUUCCCCUUUUGUACCUUUUAUGGAUCCUUAUCAACUAAAACUGUUUUAUCCGGAAAGCAAACUCUCACAGAUUAUUAAUUAAAGCCAAAUAGUUAAUUGUAUCAAUGAGUUUGAAAUGUGUUCUUCAAUUGUAUAAAAAACCUGUUAAAGACGUGUGAAGGUCAAAUGGAGGAUGUGCAUCAGCCCAGAGGCUCCGUUCUUCUUUUUAUUCUUCCUCCGACAACAUCUUCUCCUCCAAAAGGAACAGGAGGUCAAAAAGCAUGAUGAGGUUGUUUGGUGACUUGACAUGAAUUGUAAAUGAGUGAAUAAAAGUGUGGAUGUGAGCGUCCAUCUACAUAGCACUGCUUCAGCCCCUCUUUUUACUUUUAUUUUUUGCUUACUUUGAAUUAAUACUGUCUUGUAAGCAUACAUAAAUGUUAAUAAUUCCAGUGCUUGCAGAUGCAUUUCUUUCAAGAGACUUGUUUUCUUGCAGAUUCGAAGGCCUUGAACUGUCAGUGUCUUCUCCCUCGAGCACAUAACGCACGCUGUAUCAACUUUCUGGUUCAGCAGCUUUGAUAAUAAUCUGACCUCACCUUUUUGGUUGUUUUGGGGAGUUAAGAUUUUCCUUCUGUAUGCGUGUAAACACUGCAAAGUAGGCGUGAGUAUUCAUCUUGCUGCCUCAACCCUCCCUUGUUUUACAAAGGUUAUUUUUGUGACAACAAACCUCCUCUAACGCAGUGUCGUCUGAAGCAGCUUUGUCCUGGACUGUGGCCAUUUUUUUCACAAAUCACUGCCAAUUAAUAUUAAAAGCUGGCCAGCAAUGGCACUUCCAUUUUCAUUACUGUGCCCUGAUAAAAAAUCACUCACACAAACAUACAAGAACACAUUAAAAGGUCAACGUGACAAGGUGACAAGCGAGUGAUCGAACUGAAAGACAAAAGCAAAGACAUUUCGCUUUGAAGUUAAUAUGGUUAAAAACCACCCUUUAUAUAAGGGCCAGAUGCAUUAUUACAUCCAACUUUCAUGAAAUGCUAAUGACACUUGAGAGCAAGGUUGCUGUUAUGCUUUGGAUUGAUUCAUGUCUGAAUUUCAGAGAAUGUUUGCACAGCUGACAGACUCAAAGUAGGUUAUUCUCACACUUAAUACGCCCUAACAUAUAGGGCCACAUCUGUUUCUCUCUUACAGCAUAGUAUCCUGCCUGCAAGCUGUGUUUCCUUAUAAUUCCCUGUACAGCAUGUUUUACAGGCCUAACCAAGCCCUGGGGGUAAGCACAUUUAUUAAAGUACUUUAUUGGAGUACUUUGUUUUUGUUACACAUUCUUUUUCAAAAGAAAAAGCUAAUUUAUUGUGGAAUUGAUUUCAUUAUUUGAAGAAUAGUACUUGUUUUAUAUAAAGAGUUUUUUUUCCUUGAAAUUAUGAUGCGUCAAUAUCACGUCUUGGGGUACACAGGAAAUUAGUUAGCUGCUAAUUUCAGUAGAUCUCUCUGUAACCCAAUACAACUACCUCUAGUAGAUCUAGGAACCUCUGGUAAUUUGAAUUAAUUGAAGAUGAUCACUGUGAUCUUUAUCCGAUGUGAUUGCUCAAGAAAAUAAUUUUACAUAUUUACCAAUAUAUCAGGAAAUGUUAGGAUAUUGUGCUAUGCAAAUCAGUAACUCUGCGAUAUUUGGGUGGUAUCUGAGGCUGCAAUGGCAAUAUAUAAAUCAAAGUUUUGAGAGCAUUUCGGAUGCAAAUUGGAAAAUAAUAUCUAGAAUAUUAACUGUAACGUCUUACCAUAUCUGGGGACUAAUUUUGGUAAAUUUAAGUCAUUUCAAAAAUAACACAGUCCCUGGUAAUACUAUUUCUGUGCAAGCGGAGCUUAGCAGUAACUUCAACAUCGCAACCUCUUAACAUGUUGAUAGUUUUAACUCAUUUUUUUGAAAACCAAAUCUAGUUAUUUUAGUUCCGUUAUGGUAUCAGAAUUUUCUGCACUUUUUUUAGGAGAGUGACUAACAUUGGCAGCAGAAAAAAAAAUGUUAAUGUCUACACAAAGUUACAGAAAACCUCUUCUUCAAUUCAACAAUUAAAAAAAUGGUACCUUAACGUUUCGUUUACAGUUUCCCAGCAGCAACAUGGAUGGCUUUAUUUAUCUGUACCUUCAAUAGCAUUAAAUCUUAAAGCAUAAUAUCAUUCAAUUUGAUGUGGAUUUCUUGGAAAUGAUUAUACAGGGAGUUGGAGAAUUCAGGAUUUAGAAACCAAUGUUGUAUUAUUAGAACAUUUUUACUAGCCUGUCCCUUUUUACAGCUUCGGAAAUCUAUUUCCCAGAUCAUGUGUGCAGCCCAAGUGUGUCUCGAUCCUGCUCGCAUCUUAGAGUUAGAGUAUAGUGGGAUGAUGCUCCCUGAUGCUAUUGAGGCUUUGCCAUGGCAACCGCCUUGCCUAUCGCAUCCUGCUUUGUGCCAAUGAGGCCCCUGGAUGCACUCUCUCCCCUCCUCAGCAUCGUGGCAACCCCAGUGUUCCAGGCCACCACAUUGUUUCGCCGAUGAUUAAUUACCGUCCUGAUGAAAUGUGAAGGCUGGAAAUGUCACAGGGAUGACAUGGGCUUGUCAGUGUGUGCUAGCUGGGAGGAGCGUAUUGCAUAGAGACAUCUGAAAUGAUAUGGAGCACCAGCCACAUACCGACUUUCAAGGAAAUAGCUAAUUAUAGCAGUAUUAUGUAAUUUAAUUUUUCUUUUCUUGUUUCUUGUUUCCUGUUUAUCUUGCAAUGUCAAAAAAUGUGUUUACAAAUACAAAUUACUACAAUGCCUCCAUACAGUCGCUCAUCUCCUCACCUCCUCACCUUUUCCUCUUUACCUCCUCAAACAAUUACCACUCAUACAGAUGUGCUGUCGAUUCAAAAUGUCUGCACAGAAAGUUUUUAAUCCAUUUGUGUUUGGGAAAAUAGGGCAGGAAGGUAUCGCUUGAUGAAAAACACAAAUGACAUACAAAAUUUCCCUGAUGAAUUGAUCCAUUUACUGAAAUAAAUUGAAUUGAUGCAAAGGAUCCCAGAGGAGCAGAACAUUUUUCAGCAAUGGAUAAAAACCCUCUUGCAGCUACGGCACCGACAAGCAGCCACGCUUAUUUGUAUUACACAUAAGACUUGUGAGGAUGUGCUGACAGGCCUGUUUAUCCCGGUUAAUAAGAGCAGAUGUUUUUUCUCUGAGCAAAAAUGUAUACUAAUUAACUCGAGACACACAUGAACAACGGCAAUUAUUUAAAUUAAUCUGGUUUGCUUGUGUUAUCACAUGAGAGAGGCAUGUGUAGAAAUAGUAUCAUUCGUGUUUUAAUUCUUUAAUUGUUUACCUGUUUUAAUAGCCAAUCUGUACAAGGUAACCCUUCCCUGAAAACACCAGGUAUCCGUAUGGUAAAGCAGAUUGCAAAUGAUCAGUCAGCUCAUAGAGGUACGAGUGGGCAGCUAUCACAUCCUGUUAAACUGUAUGUUCAAAAAUGACAAGGAUGCAAUUUCAUGGCAAAUUUCUGGUUUAGUUUGAGCCUUUCAAUGUCAUAUUCAAGUCAUAUUCAAUUAUCUUUUUUUCCCCAGUCACAUAUGUUCAAACGUAUCAACUGAAUCCAUAGAUUUCAAUCUUCUCUGUUAGUUUUCCUCAUUUUUGCAACACAUCACCACACAUCCAUCCCUUGACACCGCUACUUAAAGGUUUCAAAACAUAUGGCGAAGUCAACUCUGUUGCUGUGUGAGCAGAUGUUAUUGGUUGAUUAAAAUGCAUUUGUUCUUGAACGAUUUGUGUCUGUUGGAGCAUUUCCUUCUUUGGUGUCCUAAUGAUUAGGCAGCAAAGACGGCGUGUUUCCACCUUCUGGUUUUAUGGACAACUUAUCCACACACCAUUACAGUUCAAGAUUAUGGAUGGCAGCGCUUUAGGUCAAUUUGUAAUGUGUAGUGGGAUAUCAACACAUCUGGAUGCACAGAGCACAGCAUCAUUCAUUUGGCAAUUUAGUAUACAUUGUGCGUUUGCCUGACAGUAAACAUGAGUAUCUCAUCAGUUAGCUAAAACAAAAGGAGAUUUACAAAGUACAUAUUUAUGACUCGGCUUGAAGAAUGUGCAUAGUCGCUCUCCCCUUGACCUACUCCUGUAGGAACAAAGUAGAUGCUAGGUCAAGAGAUGAUCUGUUAGACUGUAUUUUAUAAGCUAGCAGCAGUACUGCAGGAUUUUAAUCACCGAGGGCGUUUUAUAUGCAUAUGUAUAUUCAAUAUGUGGCAGUAAUUCCUCUCUGAGACUCACUGAGUGUGAACUAGUUGGUUGAGUCGACACAACUAAGCCUCCCAGAGCUGUGAAAUAGAAAUGAAAUUCUAUUUCAACCUUUCAAAAC